RNAcentral lists this long non-coding RNA (1277 nucleotides) under Parus major (Great Tit). Its description in RNAcentral is "lncRNA (ENSPMJG00000009453.1)". Lineage: Eukaryota; Metazoa; Chordata; Aves; Passeriformes; Paridae. The record is from RNAcentral.
UUAAACAUUAGCCAUUAAAAGCUUUCUAAUUUAAGCAGCCGGCGUUAAUUAGCCCUGCUUGCUCGGCGUCAUGUUUUCCAUGAGCCUCCCUCAGCAGUUCCAGCUGCCCCUGGUGCUCGGUAACACUUUCACUGCUGGGCACCAGCCUUCCCCUCCUGGCUGCCAAGUGGAGAAAGCAGCAGGAGCUCAACACCUUUAUCUCCAGGAGCAUCAGCAGCCUGCUGGAAACAUCUCCCUUUACAGCUCAGCUGAGGAGCAUCCAGUGGGAUCAGGAUGACAUCAGCAGAGCCAGCGCUGUCGGCCACAAACUCAUUCAUCUUCCCUGCGGCUCUCAGAGAGUGCCGUAAUUAUUUAGCUUCUUAAACCCUUCACACUCUUACAGCUCUCAUAAAGUAGUUAUUCAGCUCUUGAUAUUUUCUCCCCCAGCUGUGAUGAUUUAAUCUAGCCUGGGGUUUGAAAGGCUCGGCCAGGAAAAUCCCAGAGCGCAACACAGCUCAUUUAUAAGGCUCAGCAUUUCUGCAGUACCCAGCCCGAGCUGGGCUCUCCAUCUGCCUUAUCUAAACACUGCCAUCACACUGCAUUUAGGCUUUCAUGGUAACUUAAACCACCACACAGAGCUCAGGGAAACUCCCACAUCUGGCCUGGAAAUAUCAUCCUGUAUUUUAAACAUUUGGUGGCACAGCUCGGUAUUAAUUCAGGUAGAGCACAUUUGUUUGGGGAGGUUUGGUUCUCCUGCCAGCAAGGGGGAAACACUGUGGUCUCUUCACCACAGAAGUUCUCCCAAAAAAAAUUAAAACAAAAGAUUAGUUCAGUUCCCUAACUAUAUAAAUCACAGCUUUUUAUAAGCAUCACAAAGUUAUUCUGAGGUGGUUAUAACACAGGUGAAAUUCCCUUUCUUUCCCAGUGAUGACCAAAACCCCAAAAUAACUCAGCCAUGCAGCAGUGCCAUUUCACUGCAGAGCCAAGCCCUCUGAAUUCCACAGCCAGGAAAUCCUCAUGAUUAAGAUGCCUCUUUGAGACAUUAAAUAACCAAUAUAGUUUAUGCUGCGUAUUAAUGGUCAACAAGAAGAAUUUUAAAGUUUAAAUUUCACACAGAAAUUGCGAGUACAAACUCCUCUCACUACAUAUAUUUGCUGUUGCUGAGCUAACAUUGAAAGACACGUACUAACUUUUUAAAUUUCCUGACUUUUAUGAUUGCUCAAUUUUGCAACCUGAACAUUAUUUUGAAAGUAGGAUUGUGUAAAAUUUUCCUCAAGGGACUCAGAGAGCUCUGUGCU